GGUAGUGGCUCAGUGGUUAGAGCGCUUAUCUAGCACGUGUGAGGCCCUGGGUUCGAUCCUCAGCACCA
Molecule: transfer RNA, 68 nt
Filed under: Ictidomys tridecemlineatus (thirteen-lined ground squirrel)
Lineage: Eukaryota; Metazoa; Chordata; Mammalia; Rodentia; Sciuridae
Description: Spermophilus tridecemlineatus (thirteen-lined ground squirrel) tRNA
Rfam family: tRNA
About the family: Transfer RNA (tRNA) molecules are approximately 80 nucleotides in length. Their secondary structure includes four short double-helical elements and three loops (D, anti-codon, and T loops).
Source: Rfam by way of RNAcentral